RNAcentral lists this ribosomal RNA (278 nucleotides) under uncultured Rikenellaceae bacterium. RNAcentral describes it as "partial 16S ribosomal RNA". It matches the Rfam family "Bacterial small subunit ribosomal RNA", at positions 511 to 788 of the family's 1533-position model. The record is from RNAcentral. Lineage: Bacteria; Pseudomonadati; Bacteroidota; Bacteroidia; Bacteroidales; Rikenellaceae.
GCAGCCGCGGUAAUACGGGGGAUGCGAGCGUUAUCCGGAUUUAUUGGGUUUAAAGGGUGCGUAGGCGGAAGUGCAAGUCAGCGGUGAAAUCCCCGCGCUCAACGCGGGAGUUGCCGUUGAUACUGUACAUCUGGAAUGCUCUUGCCGUGGGAGGAAUGAGUAGUGUAGCGGUGAAAUGCAUAGAUAUUACUCAGAACACCGAUUGCGAAGGCAUCUCACGAAGGGGCGAUUGACGCUGAGGCACGAAAGCGUGGGUAUCGAACAGGAUUAGAUACCCC